Molecule: unclassified non-coding RNA, 331 nt
Filed under: soil metagenome
Description: partial contains 5.8S ribosomal RNA, internal transcribed spacer 2, and large subunit ribosomal RNA
Rfam family: 5.8S ribosomal RNA (bases 1-120)
Source: RNAcentral
GAUGAAGAACGUAGCGAAAUGCGAUAAGUAGUGUGAAUUGCAGAAUUCAGUGAAUCAUCGAAUCUUUGAACGCACAUUGCGCCCCUUGGUAUUCCGGGGGGCAUGCCUGUUCGAGCGUCAUUUCACCACUCAAGCCUCGCUUGGUAUUGGGCAACGCGGUCCGCCGCGUGCCUCAAAUCGACCGGCUGGGUCUUCUGUCCCCUAAGCGUUGUGGAAACUAUUCGCUAAAGGGUGUUCGGGAGGCUACGCCGUAAAACAACCCCAUUUCUAAGGUUGACCUCGGAUCAGGUAGGGAUACCCGCUGAACUUAAGCAUAUCAAUAAGCGGAGGA